This is a non-coding RNA of Gossypium hirsutum (cotton), 87 nucleotides long. NCBI's taxonomy places the organism in Eukaryota, Viridiplantae, Streptophyta, Magnoliopsida, Malvales, Malvaceae. The record is from Rfam.
CACGUCAGCGCGCUUUGCUGAUGUGGACACAAAUCACGCUUCAAAGGAUGCGAUUUGUUGCCAUGUUAGUAAAGCGCACUUACGUGG